GGCUCCGUGGCUUAAUGGUUACGGCUUCUGUCUCCCAAGCAGAAGUUCAGGGAUCAAAUCCCGGUCGAUACCU
Culex pipiens (northern house mosquito) is the source of this 73-nucleotide non-coding RNA. NCBI's taxonomy places the organism in Eukaryota, Metazoa, Arthropoda, Insecta, Diptera, Culicidae. The record is from Rfam.